CCUACGGGAGGCAGCAGUGGGGGAUAUUGCACAAUGGGGGGAACCCUGAUGUAGCGACGCCGCGUGGGUGAAGGAGUGCUUCGGCAUGUAAAGCCCUAUCGGCAGGGAAGAAGCAAGACGGUACCUUACUACGAAGCCCCCGCUAAUUACGUGCCAGCAGCCUCGGUAAUACGUAGGGGGCGAGCGUUAUCCGGAUUCACUGGUUGUAAGGGGAGCGUAGACGGCCAAGCAAGCCAGGGGUGAAAGCCCGGGGCCCAACCCCGGGACUGCCCUUUGAACUGCAUGGCUGGAGUGCGGGAGGGGCAGGCGGAAUUCGUGGUGUAGCGGUGAAAUGCGUAGAUAUCAGGAGGAACACCGGCGGCGAAGGCGGCCUGCUGGACCGCGACUGACGUUGAGGCUCGAAAGCGGGGGGAGCGAACAGGAUUAGAUACCCCAGUAGUC
RNAcentral lists this ribosomal RNA (441 nucleotides) under uncultured bacterium. RNAcentral describes it as "partial 16S ribosomal RNA". It matches the Rfam family "Bacterial small subunit ribosomal RNA", at positions 338 to 795 of the family's 1533-position model. The record is from RNAcentral.